This 701-nucleotide ribosomal RNA is filed under the name uncultured Lachnospiraceae bacterium. Its description in RNAcentral is "bacterial SSU rRNA". It matches the Rfam family "Bacterial small subunit ribosomal RNA", at positions 28 to 727 of the family's 1533-position model. Lineage: Bacteria; Bacillati; Bacillota; Clostridia; Lachnospirales; Lachnospiraceae. The record is from RNAcentral.
GAUGAACGCUGGCGGCGUGCUUAACACAUGCAAGUCGAACGAAGCACCUUAUUCUGAUUUCUUCGGAAUGAAAAAUUUGGUGACUGAGUGGCGGACGGGUGAGUAACGCGUGGGUAACCUGCCUCAUACAGGGGGAUAACAGUUAGAAAUGACUGCUAAUACCGCAUAAGACCACAGCACCGCAUGGUGCAGGGGUAAAAACUCCGGUGGUAUGAGAUGGACCCGCGUCUGAUUAGGUAGUUGGUGGGGUAACGGCCUACCAAGCCGACGAUCAGUAGCCGACCUGAGAGGGUGACCGGCCACAUUGGGACUGAGACACGGCCCAAACUCCUACGGGAGGCAGCAGUGGGGAAUAUUGCACAAUGGGGGAAACCCUGAUGCAGCGACGCCGCGUGAGCGAUGAAGUAUUUCGGUAUGUAAAGCUCUAUCAGCAGGGAAGAAAAUGACGGUACCUGACUAAGAAGCACCGGCUAAAUACGUGCCAGCAGCCGCGGUAAUACGUAUGGUGCAAGCGUUAUCCGGAUUUACUGGGUGUAAAGGGAGCGUAGACGGAGUGGCAAGUCUGAUGUGAAAACCCGGGGCUCAACCCCGGGACUGCAUUGGAAACUGUCAAUCUAGAGUACCGGAGAGGUAAGCGGAAUUCCUAGUGUAGCGGUGAAAUGCGUAGAUAUUAGGAGGAACACCAGUGGCGAAGGCGGCUU